UAGGGAAUCUUCCGCAAUGGACGCAAGUCUGACGGAGCAACGCCGCGUGAGUGAAGAAGGAUUUCGGUUCGUAAAACUCUGUUGUUAGAGAAGAACAGCGCAUAGACUAACUGUUAUGCGUGUGACGGUAUCUAACCAGAAAGCCACGGCUAACUACGUGCCAGCAGCCGCGGUAAUACGUAGGUGGCAAGCGUUGUCCGGAUUUAUUGGGCGUAAAGCGAGCGCAGGCGGUCAAUUAAGUCUGAUGUGAAAGCCCCCGGCUCAACCGGGGAGGGUCAUUGGAAACUGGUUGACUUGAGUGCAGAAGAGGAGAGUGGAAUUCCAUGUGUAGCGGUGAAAUGCGUAGAUAUAUGGAGGAACACCAGUGGCGAAGGCGACUCUCUGGUCUGUAACUGACGCUGAGGCUCGAAAGCGUGGGUAGCAAACAGG
Molecule: ribosomal RNA, 429 nt
Filed under: Bacteroidota bacterium
Lineage: Bacteria; Pseudomonadati; Bacteroidota
Description: Bacteroidetes bacterium partial 16S ribosomal RNA
Rfam family: Bacterial small subunit ribosomal RNA
Source: RNAcentral